Molecule: long non-coding RNA, 1273 nt
Organism: Carassius auratus (goldfish)
Lineage: Eukaryota; Metazoa; Chordata; Actinopteri; Cypriniformes; Cyprinidae
Exons: 2
Source: RefSeq, a predicted model, not a curated record
UGAUUGCAGAAGUGCUUAAGAGUGACUGGGAUGUUCAAUUUAGCGUGUCGGAAAUGGGAAAACAGAGUGCAAAGAGCUUUACUGGGGCAUCUCCGGUUUUUAUCACAUUUCGAAUGAAGUCUUUGACGAUCUAGACAAGCAUCCGGAAAAUUCCACACCACCUGCAGUCACCGCUGCUUUGUAACCUGCGAGCAGUGAAUGAGUUGACUUCCAUUCAAAGCCAGCCAGCGAUGGUGAAUGCUUGACUAGGUAACUCUGCCCCGGCAGCCCCCUGGGUUCUGGGCAGUGGUCUGAAAGGAGCCUGAAGCUGGAGCCGAAUAGAGAGCCAGAGCAACCAGGGGGCUAAUAGCAGUGGAUGGGAUUGUAUUCACAGUGCGGGAGGGGUGGGGGACGGGAAAAGAGAGUUGAGGGCCAGAACCAUCUGCUUUUGUGGUGGUGGGCAUCAAAGCCAGGAGGAGCACGGUGGGAGAUCUCCUUUCACCGGGGACACAAUUCAUAUGGGCCUCAUAUUUCUCCAGGACGACAUCCUGCAGACCUUUUGGGAGCUCAUCGUAUCCCCUUUUAGUCUAUUUUUUUGUUUGUUUUUUGCAGUGUGGCUACUCUGAAAGCCAAAUAGCUGUGGAAAGACCAAGAUUCCCUAUUAUAUACCCUGGGAAUUUAGAUAAUAGAUGAGUUUGUUUGACCCAGCAGACCCUAAACGGCAAACACUCCUCUCUCGCUAAUUUUAGUUUUUUUUUUUUUUUUUUUUUGCUAGUGGAAGGGAAUUAAAAAUGGGUCACUGCAUGACUCAAAAAAACAUGCUCAGAGGAUGAUUAAUUAUUAAAGUGACUAAUACUACAUUUGCCUCAGAGCGCUUGUGACUUUAAUCCGUGGCAGGGGCACAACUACCAGUACUCGACUCCCCCAUUUGUGAAUCCCUCUCUCUCUGCCAGUCUCGCCCCCUUUUUUUCGUCUAUCCCUCUAGCUAAAUUUAAUUUCAGAUUCAAUUAGCUUUACUGGCAUGACCAAGAUACAUAUUUGAACUGUUGUGUCAGUGUCAGUCCCUUCUUACUCUCGUCUCUAUCCUCCGUCCCUUCGCUUCUGUUAAGAGCUGUGUAAAGGAGAAGUCUAUAUCUACUGCUAUGUUAGCAUUACUGCAGCUAUUUUGAAAUCAUCACCGUGGCCAUUUCAACAACACUUAAGCUUUCUGCUAAUGUGGAAGUCUGUGAAAGAGCACAUGAUCUGAAAAGCAACAGAUCCUAGUUUGUACCAUUGUCUAAUAACUGGACCAUAA